Molecule: ribosomal RNA, 253 nt
Filed under: uncultured bacterium
Lineage: Bacteria
Description: partial 16S ribosomal RNA
Rfam family: Bacterial small subunit ribosomal RNA
Source: RNAcentral
UACAGAGGUCCCGAGCGUUGUUCGGAUUCACUGGGCGUAAAGGGUGCGUAGGUGGUGAGGUAAGUCGGAUGUGAAAUCUCCGAGCUCAACUCGGAAAUGGCAUUGGAAACUACCUUGCUAGAGGGUUGGAGGGGGGACUGGAAUACUUGGUGUAGCAGUGAAAUGCGUAGAUAUCAAGUGGAACACCAGUGGCGAAGGCGAGUCCCUGGACAACACCUGACACUGAGGCACGAAAGCUAGGGGAGCAAACAGG